CUGGUGUGAAUCGCUUUUUUAGUUGCUAAAUGCCUAGGGGCACAUGGGUGGGAGACCCUGGGUACUUGCGAUUGGCUUGGCCUGAUGAGCCAAGUGUGGGAGUCAUCAGUGUGAGUUCAAGGUCUCUUGGAUUUCUUCCACUCCGGGGCGAACCACGCUGUUACAGGAGAUGCUCUGGAGGCCGCAGGUAGUGGUAUGCCACAAGAUCGUAGGGCUCGUUCGCCCUCUGCAGGGUCGUUGAUAGAAGUGUUUUUUCCGUCCAUGUGGAUCAGUAGCUUGACGGGGUAUGCCCAGCAGUAUGCCAUGCGGUGUUCCCUGAGAUGUGCCGUGAUCAGGUUGAAAGCUCUUCUCCGCUUGAGUGUCGAGGUAGAGAUGUCAGCAUACAACUGUACAGCCUUGUACUUGUCUGGAUCUGUUGGCUCAGAGUAUCACCUCUUUAGCAUGAUAGUAAUGCAUGCAGGUCAUGGUGUCUCUGGGGACAUCUGGAGCAAGGAGAGCCUUGCUG
Non-coding RNA from Pelobates cultripes (western spadefoot toad), 505 nucleotides. NCBI's taxonomy places the organism in Eukaryota, Metazoa, Chordata, Amphibia, Anura, Pelobatidae. The record is from the annotation of a GenBank genome assembly.